Molecule: ribosomal RNA, 253 nt
Filed under: uncultured bacterium
Lineage: Bacteria
Description: partial 16S ribosomal RNA
Rfam family: Bacterial small subunit ribosomal RNA
Source: RNAcentral
CACGGGGGGAGCAAGCGUUGUUCGGAAUCACUGGGCGUAAAGGGCGUCUAGGCGGUCAGAUAAGUGGGAUGUGAAAUGCCCCGGCUCACCCGGGGACCGGCAUCCCAAACUGUCUGGCUUGAGUAUGGGAGAGGAUGUGGGAAUUCCUGGUGUAGCGGUGAAAUGCGUAGAUAUCAGGAGGAACACCGGUGGCGAAGGCGGUUCUCUGGGCAUUACCUGACGCUGAGGAGCGAAAGUGUGGGGAGCGAACAGG